GAUAAACGCUGGCGGCGUGCUUAACACAUGCCAGUCGAACGAAGUUUUUCUUUCGGGAGGAACUUAGUGGCGGACGGGUGAGUAACGCGUGGGUAACCUGCCCUGUACAGGGGGACAACAGCUGGAAACGGCUGCUAAUACCGCAUAAGCCCUUAGCACUGCAUGGUGCAUAGGGAAAAGGAGCAAUCCGGUACAGGAUGGACCCGCGUCUGAUUAGCCAGUUGGCAGGGUAACGGCCUACCAAAGCGACGAUCAGUAGCCGAUCUGAGAGGAUGUACGGCCACAUUGGGACUGAGACACGGCCCAGACUCCUACGGGAGGCAGCAGUGGGGAAUAUUGCACAAUGGAGGAAACUCUGAUGCAGCGACGCCGCGUGAGUGAAGAAGUAUUUCGGUAUGUAAAGCUCUAUCAGCAGGAAAGAAAAUGACGGUACCUGACGAAGAAGCACCGGCUAAAUACGUG
This 462-nucleotide ribosomal RNA is filed under the name uncultured bacterium. Its description in RNAcentral is "partial 16S ribosomal RNA". It matches the Rfam family "Bacterial small subunit ribosomal RNA", at positions 28 to 507 of the family's 1533-position model. The record is from RNAcentral.